Molecule: ribosomal RNA, 253 nt
Filed under: uncultured bacterium
Lineage: Bacteria
Description: partial 16S ribosomal RNA
Rfam family: Bacterial small subunit ribosomal RNA
Source: RNAcentral
UACGUAGGGUGCAAGCGUUGUCCGGAAUUAUUGGGCGUAAAGAGCUCGUAGGCGGUUUGUCGCGUCUGCUGUGAAAACUCGGGGCUUAACCCCGGGCCUGCAGUGGGUACGGGCAGACUAGAGUGCGGUAGGGGAGACUGGAAUUCCUGGUGUAGCGGUGAAAUGCGCAGAUAUCAGGAGGAACACCGGUGGCGAAGGCGGGUCUCUGGGACGUUACUGACGCUGAGACGCGAAAGCGUGGGGAGCAAACAGG